Molecule: ribosomal RNA, 497 nt
Filed under: uncultured bacterium
Lineage: Bacteria
Description: partial 16S ribosomal RNA
Rfam family: Bacterial small subunit ribosomal RNA
Source: RNAcentral
GAUGAACGCUGGCGGCGUGCCUAAUACAUGCAAGUCGAGCGAACGGACGAGAAGCUUGCUCUUCUGAUGUUAGCGGCGGACGGGUGGGUAACACGUGGAUAACCUACCUAUAAGACUGGGAGAACUUCGGGAAACCGGAGCUAAUAUCGGAUAAUAUUUUGAACCGCAUGGAUCAAAAGUGAAAGACGGUCUUGCUGUCACUUAUAGAUGGAUCCGCGCUGCAUUAGCGAGUUGGUAAGGUAACGGCUUACCAAGGCAACGAUGCAUAGCCGACCGGAGAGGGUGAUCGGCCACCCUGGAACUUAGACACGGUCCAGACUCCUACGGGAGGCAGCAGUAGGGAAUCUUCCGCAAUGGGCGAAAGCCUGACGGAGCACCGCCGCGUGAGUGAUGGAGGUCUUCGGAUCGUAAAACUCUGUUAUUAGGGAAGAACAUAUGUGUAAGUAACUGUGCACAUCUUGACGGUACCUAAUCAGAAAGCCACGGCUAACUACGUG